This is a non-coding RNA of Manis javanica (Malayan pangolin), 2797 nucleotides long. Lineage: Eukaryota; Metazoa; Chordata; Mammalia; Pholidota; Manidae. The record is from RefSeq and is a predicted model, not a curated record.
GACGCGCAGGCUUUUGUGGCGCAGUCGCCCCGGCCCGCGGCCCGCGGCCGAGCAGCCCGGCCUCCGUGAGCGACCAGGAGAGGACCCCUCCCGCUUGCACGUACUCCUAACACCCACUCCAGCUAGCUCCCCACCAGCCACCUUCCUCACCCCCCCGACCCCAAAGCGGCCACCACCCUGCACCCCAGCUCUGUCCGCAAGGACCAGGCAGAAGCCGCCCUAGAUCGAGCAGGACUGACUUGGGGGGCGAAUGGUCCGUGCCCACUACCCACCACCGAGAGGCCGGCCCAGCGUGUCCCCGCGGGACAGGAUUCACGCGCCUUCUAUGCAAACUGCCAGCAGGGCCCUGAGGUGAGCUUUCUGCCCAAAAGUCCAUAGCGGAGACCCGGUGUCAGGAUUUCCGCUGUUGUGACAUUGAACACACGCCGCCAGUGCUUAACCAGGGAAGAUACUACCCCCAAAAGGUUUUACUUUAUUUUGCUUUAAAUACUCAUCUUUCGGAUUUGUGCUGUAAAACACUCGGGGGAGCGACUGGCAUGGGACAGACAUCCUCUGGCACGACGUAAAGACUCCCUGGCACUCAGGAAAGGACGAGAGCGCGACGGGCUUCUGUCACGAACGAGUUCGGCAGCACAGUUCAGGUAACUCGCGGCUCGGGAGGCGCCACGGGGGUCCCAGAGGCGAGAGCUUUGCAACACGCCCCUGGGACCCCAGGCCCCAACCCUCUCCACUCCCCAUCCCCCACGCCUUCCCCACCAGGGGAAGGCGGAAGCAGGGCUUCUGGCGGCCCUACCCGAGGGGCGUCACCGCUGGGGGGCGCUAAGCGCGACCACAGGGGGUCGGUGUAUGCGCGCCGGGCUGGGACCUCUACCUAACAGGUGCCUCUGCCCCUGGGGCCGUUUUGGCGGGGGACCUGUCGGGUGGGGGCUCCAGUCUGCAGCCCGCCUUCCGCCACACCUCGCCGCCCCCAGUCCUGUUGGUUCUGCAACUCCAGGAACCGCCUCCGGGGUCGGUCCAGUUGCGGGCGCGCGGGCGCGGGGCAAGGUUGCAGCGCCGCCGGGACCACCAGGCCCUGCUCCGGCCUGGCUGCCCGCGGAACCUUCAAGGCACGAGUUAAAACCGGAAGAAAAGAGAGGAGAAGCCCGAGCAGCCCCGUGGAGCAUGCCGUAGACAGGGUCCGUGGCAUUUCUGGUCUUCCUAGGAGGGAAUUAGGCCAGGAAGAGGCCGUAAAGGAGAGGUGCACGCGCUGGGUGACAAACAACGGAUCAGAUUGCAGGCUCUUGGAUUCGCUUCCAGCUAGAUGGUUUCAGUGAAAAAAUCAGGUCUACUGUUUAUCUCCAGGGAUGACUGGCCUCGAGUAUUUCCAUUUCUAAAGACCAGCUCCUCCUGUGGUUUCAUUAGCAUUUGGGGCUGCUCGCUCCUACACCCUCCCUCCCUCUCCCUCGACCCCCCUGGGCCUGAUCUCUGCCAGGGGCGGAAAAGAAAACAGCGAAUUAUUACAAAAACAUCCCCAGUUUGGAGCAGGAGCGUAUGCUCCGGGUACCCUCGAUUUUGACAUCAAUUAAGUAUAUAACCAGACAAGUGCACGUGGCUUUGGAGGGUCUCGCGUCGCCCAGGGUGCAUCUCCAGAAAGACUGUCUCCUCUUCCCUCUCUUUAGCUCAGCGCUGCUGUGAAGACAGACUCUUUCCUGGGCCUAUUUUCCUCUCAGCAAUUACACUCCACUGAAAUCUAAAUUUUCCGUAUUGCUGCCUGCUACUAAUAAAAACCGUCUACCUUGCACUAUUAAACAGUCGAAUCGCACUACAUGCCGUUUUUAUUGGUAGUGACUGUAGCAAAUUAAAAUGCCUACGCAGACAUUAAAACUUACGCUCUGCGUUGUUAUUGGAAAAAUAUAAACUCCGUUUCGCUAUAAGCUCUCUGAGUCUUAAAAAUUACCAUUACUUUUCUUAAAGUUGGCUUGGUAUUCUUUAAAAUAAAAUCAAUCUAAAAAACACGCUGCCAGAGUCGAGGCUGGGCGCGCGGGGGGAUGGCCCGGAUUCGCGGGAACUCCGUGUCGGAUCAGCGCCGGGGGCUCAGGCCGCGCGGGCCGCGCUCGGUGCGUCCGGGCCCCACAGCCGCCUCCCGGGAGAGCAGAUCAGCCUGCUGGCUUGCGGCCAGGCGGGGCGUUAGGGUCUGUGGAGCCGCCUGGGGCUGGCCGGGCACUUGGCUUCUGUUGCUUUGCAGCUGCCCUCCGAGUGGGAAUGGAAGAGAAUGAGCAGGGGAAACGGCAGAUCUGCUGGGAACGCACGGGCACUUGUACACUUACCUGGCGGUGGGCAGUUUCAGGUUUGCGGGGAGUCUCCCCCUCCGCAAGUGUGCAUUUUAAAAACAUACGAGUUAACAUGACAGUUCUGUUUCUUGUCUCAACAGCAGCCGAUGCACGGAGAACAAUCCGGCGUGGACAUACACGUUUUAAGCAGCCAGGGUCUCCUGCUGGGAAGGCUGGGAACGCGGGCCCGGCCCCAGGGUCUUCGCCUAGGGCGCGGCGGGCUGCGUGGACCGAGCGACGCGCUCUCCCGGCACAGUCCGUCCUGGGGCUGCAGGGCCGCCGACCCGAAGUCGUGCGGGCUGCGAGGGGGCGCUGUGGCCCGCGGCUGCGGCCUCGUCCGGGCUGCGGUGGCCGCUGUCCCUGGCCACCGGCGGGCGGCGGGCGCCCCUGCCUUGACUCAACCCACCCUUUCCCAAGUCGGCUUAUUCGAGGAAGUACAAAAAUUAUACUUGGGCAUUUGAAUAAAACCUACGCCGGUCUUAACCUUU